Molecule: ribosomal RNA, 257 nt
Filed under: uncultured bacterium
Lineage: Bacteria
Description: partial 16S ribosomal RNA
Rfam family: Bacterial small subunit ribosomal RNA
Source: RNAcentral
CGUUCCUACGGGAGGCAGCAGUGAGGAAUAUUGGUCAAUGGACGAGAGUCUGAACCAGCCAAGUAGCGUGAAGGAUGACUGCCCUAUGGGUUGUAAACUUCUUUUAUAUGGGAAUAAAAUGUUCCACGUGUGGGAUUUUGUAUGUACCAUAUGAAUAAGGAUCGGCUAACUCCGUGCCAGCAGCCGCGGUAUUACGGAGGAUCCGUGCGUUAUCGGGAUUUAUUGGGUUUAAAGGGAGGGUAGGUGGAUUGUUAAGU